GCUUUGAGCUGCGCUCUCCGGGCCGGCGGUGCGCUCCUGUCAUUUUCCCUUGAGGCCACUGGGUGGCGCUGAAGGAGCCGGGAUUGCCAGUAAGACUGUUGCUUCCAACUCCUGUCACAGCGGUUUGGGGAAGAGCAGUCAGUCACACAGGUACCACACAGCUGGUUUGGGCAUCUCCAAGAUCACCUGCCAUGAGCCUUUUCAGCUCCUCAUCUCUUCUCAGCAGACCACAGUAUGCCUAGAUUGCAAUCUGCUCAUGUCCUCCUGCCCAGAAACUGACACAGAAGCUCCCGGACCAUUCUGCAUCAACUUUUACUUUUUUCUUCUUGAAACUGGCUUAAUCUUCUUGGUGAGCUUGAUUUGGAUCAAUACAUUUUGGAGAGCAAGAUUUGGAUCAAUAAAUUUUGGCAGUGCCUCUUUUGGGGAGCCGGAGUGACAAAGGAUCCAAGAGGAAGUC
RNAcentral lists this long non-coding RNA (457 nucleotides) under Cricetulus griseus (Chinese hamster). Its description in RNAcentral is "lncRNA (ENSCGRG00015029271.1)". The record is from RNAcentral. Lineage: Eukaryota; Metazoa; Chordata; Mammalia; Rodentia; Cricetidae.